UUGAUUGAUAGCACAGAUUGAACCCAGGGGCACUUAACCACUGAGUCACAUCUCCAGUCCUUUUAUAUUUUUUAUUUUGAUAUGGGGUAUUGCUAAAUUGCUUAGGAUUUCAGUAAUUUGCUGAGGCUGGCUUUGAACUUAGGACACACCAGGCCUGACUGACAUUGCUUUUUUGUUUCUUUGUAGUAAACAUGGUGGUGGAAUGAAUGCCAUCAGUAGCUCCGGAGUAUCUCCCCUUGAUUCUCUGUCUUCUUUCUCCAUAUUCCUGUUGGAUUAGUAUACAUUUAGCAUUUACAAUUUGGUAGGAACAAAUAGCUUGACUCAUCAUUGCAUCUACCUCUAAGGUGGAAGUGGCAGCCUCUUUAACAGCUGUGCUGUAACACUGCUCAAUAUUUCAGGGCAGGAACUGAAGAAUGUAUAUCCAGUCAGAACUUUGGGGGACAUUUUGGGUCAUGGGUGACAUUUUAAAAAACUGUUGCUUUCUGAAAAGGGCUGCUGUAUCUAAUUAUGACUGGUUGGGCUUUCCAGCUGUCCCUGACAUCUGGAAAUUGUACAAAAGCUGGUAGAUAGAGCUUGGGCCUGGUAUGACUCUAUGACAAGGAUGUUCAUUAAUGAUUGAGUGGAAGAAAAUAAUACCCCAAAUAGCUCUGGAUUUCCCAAACCAAACCUCUGAACAGAGAAAAAUGGUGGCCUGUAAAGUAAAUCUCCACUCCUGUAGUUGGAGUGGACUUUGGUGCCAACAGUCAACUUUCUGUUAGUUAUGCCAGUAUAGGAAGAGACUGAUGACAGGUCAACUGAAGGUAGUAGAUUGCUUGAAAUUAAUAAUUUCUGUUGGACUUUGGCAAUGCAUUAUUAUUCUCUAUCCUGCUACCCCCAGCAGAUUUACCUGUCUAUUAAUAUUCUGUUUAGGCAAAUAUUUAAAUGAGUUGUUCCCUGAGCACACAUCUACUGAUGGUGGCAGAAGGCAGUCCAUAAGUCGGCUGGGUUUAAAAAUUAGCUGUGGCUAAAGAACACUCAGAGAGUUGGAAGUUGAUUUUAUUAUUUUGUCUGGACCAGUUUUAUUUUAUUUCUGUAUCUGUCAUUAUCUUGGAAAUAAAGAAAAGAUGAGAAAGUUAUAUGAGAGCAAGGGAAGUAAAAUGAAUUCAUAGACCCAGUGCUUUUUAUAUGGAAUAGAGAGGGAUUUGGGUUUUCCCAGUAGUUUAGCAAGUUAUUUGUUGAAUGCAUGUUGUGUGCCUUGUAUCAUGCUAGACACUAUUGGGGGCAGGCUAAUAAACCUUUGGACUGGUUGCAGCUUGAGUCAAUACUGAGAGUUUGAAAUCUUUUCAGUGAAUAUUGUGUAAUGAAAGGGAUAUAGAUAUACCUUUGUAUGAAUAAUAUAUAUAAAUUAGUUGAAUCCAUAGUUGAGUUUGAUCUGGGUUGAGAUAACAGAAAAAAAUAACCUGAUGAUGGUCUCUUCAAAAAUUUAGGUACAAGGUCCAGGAGACUUUAAAAAAAAAAAAAAGAAAUGAAUUAGGCAUCACUGUCCUAUGUGCAUAUAUGAAU
This 1542-nucleotide long non-coding RNA is filed under the name Marmota monax (woodchuck). The record is from RNAcentral. Lineage: Eukaryota; Metazoa; Chordata; Mammalia; Rodentia; Sciuridae.